GAUGAACGCUGGCGGCGUGCCUAACACAUGCAAGUCGAACGGAGAUAUCAGACGAGGCAACUCGAAGGAUAUUUUAGUGGCGGACGGGUGAGUAACGCGUGAGUAACCUACCUAACAGAGGGGGACAACAUUGGGAAACCGAUGCUAAUACCGCAUAAAAUAAGCAAACUGCAUGGUUUGCAUAUCAAAGGAGAAAUCCGCUGAUAGAUGGACUCGCGUCCGAUUAGCCAGUUGGUGGGGUAAAGGCCUACCAAAGCGACGAUCGGUAGCCGGACUGAGAGGUUGAACGGCCACAUUGGGACUGAGAGACGGCCCAG
This 317-nucleotide ribosomal RNA is filed under the name uncultured bacterium. RNAcentral describes it as "bacterial SSU rRNA". It matches the Rfam family "Bacterial small subunit ribosomal RNA", at positions 28 to 334 of the family's 1533-position model. The record is from RNAcentral.